AUAUUUAUAUAUGUUGCUUGACCUGUUUAAUCCAGAUUCGCUCCACGUAGAGCAUAUAAAAAACCACUUUCUACUCUGAGUUUGUCCAUUCGACCCUUAGUGGAUUUUGGGCCGUGACGGGUUGGUGAUUAAAAAUACAACAACAACAACCCAGUGAGAUCCCACAUGUGGGGUCUGGGGAAGGUAGUGUGUACGCAGACCUUACCCCUACUCCGAAGGAGUAGAGAGGCUGUUUCCGGUAGACCCUCGACACAAGAAGAAAAGGGACAAUAUAUCAGUAGCAAAGGAAUCCUAACAGCUAACACCAGCAACGAAUAACCAGAAAAUAAAGAGCAAAGUAUUAAUACUAAGCAUCAACAAAGGCAUAAUUCUACAUACGCAAGGGAAUAAUAUGUACAUACAGGGCCGCUAAACAUACUAUAGCCUAACUUUCGACCCUAAAGAAGUAUUAAGAACAUAACUGGAGCCCCUAACAGCCUAAAACAAGACACUAUCACACUAGCCUCCGGUCUCCUAACCUACAACCCUAGUGCUCGACCUCCACAACUUCCUAUCAAGGUUGGUGAGUAAAAAUAUUUUCUAGAAAUAUAUGUUGAAGAUUAAUAAUGAAACUAAAAUAUGAGAUACUGUGUUGAUAAACUUUUGAAUAAUAAAGAUUAAUACUAAUAAUGUAUAAGUGUUAGGUGGAGUAAGUAAUAUAUUGAAGGUGUGCGUACAAGCUGGUCUGAAUAUCACCGUUUAUUUUAUAAAAUAGAAAGGGAUCCAAUACAGGUGUGUUUGAUCUGAAUCAUAUAUUUAAUAAUUAGAAAACUGAAAACAACAAGUCAAUUCACCGCGCACGUUGCUUACGAUCUUUAUCUUUCUAUUUAUUUAAUAGUAGUUAUUUUAUGUAACUAUUCUACUAAAAUAAAGCCUUGCCCUCCUUAGUACUAUAUGUAUCAUGUGCUGUCAAAAAUAUACACAGAUGUAGCGUAAUUACUGAAGGCCUAACUUUUGUACGCUAAUGUUAAAUGUAGAGUGUUCUCAUGCUCCUAUUAUUGACUUGCAUAGAGUGAAAAAUUAAAAGCAACAAGAAGAGAAAACGUGUUUAUCUUAUUUCAUGAAACUGAAGAUUGAAAAAUAUAGAUGUAUACUAAUAACUAAAGACCUAACUUUUGUGGACUUUCUUGGUCUACGAUAACUACUUUUAUCAAUUAAUGUUAAGUGCAGUUUGUUCUCAUAUAGCAUGCUCCUACUAUUCUCUUGCAUUGCAUAGUGUGAAAAAAGAAACGAGGAUAGAUUUACAAACAAAAGAGGUUUGUUAUAUAAGAAUCCUUAGUAAAAAGGAAAGCCGCAAUACAAGGCAUCCCGCGUUCAUACAGGGGUCGGAGGAAGGGUCGUAUUCCAAGAGUUUGUGUGAUGUAACAGCCUACCCUAGUGGUUAUAAGAUCUACUUGGUGUCGAUCUAUAACAGUCCCAUUUGUUCCGAUACUUUUUGGAUGCUAUAAUGAAGUGAUGUUAUAGAAAACAUAUAUAACAUAACAUGAAAAAUUGAUUUCAAACAAAACUUGGCUAUUAUAGUGAAGUGUUGUUAUAAAGGAUGUCUCUUAUAAAAAGGGAUGACUAGAGGUGAAGCAAGGAUUUGAAGCUUAUGAUGAGUUCGGGGUUCCAAUCCUUUUAAGUUGUUGGAAUCUGAAUUAAUAAUUUGUAUAUAUUCAAUGGAUUUUUUAAGAUAAGUACAUGGAUUGGACCAAAGCGACUGGGUUUGACCAAACCCGUACUCGAUGGGCUAGCUCCGCCCCUGGGGAUGACUGCACAUAAAAUAUCUAGUUUGACGGAGAGACCAUGGGUUAACAUGUCCCAUAAACUACCCAAUAAAUAUUCCCUUAUAUUCUAACCCCAAAACCUCUCUGGUUUAAACACUAGAGGGUCCACCCAAAUGGUAGGAUCUCGACGGGUUGCCCAUACGUCGACUAGUUGUAACGACCCAGCCGGUCGUUUUGAGUAUUUCUAUUCCAUUUAGCUAUUUGAAGUCUUGAUCAGUAUCAUAUGAUGUAUUAUGACUUGUGUAAAUCGUCGAUUUGGUUUUUAGGUUAUUCGGGAUUGAUUUGGAAGAAUGAUUCUCAACUAGGAAGCUUUAAGUUGGAAAGGUUGACCAAGUUUCGGAUAUGUUUGGGUUGUUGCGCUCGUUUAUUAUGUUUCGACGACGUUUCUUCAAGCAUAAAUAGUACUACAUUAAGAAAAUGAGCUACAAUUUCUAUUUUGAUUGAAACAUUCGAUCUGUAUCGUAAUUUUAGAACUAUAGCAAUUGGAAUCAUCAAGUUUUGACAUCGUAUUUAAAAAUCUUCAAUAUUUUCAAAUACUGAAACCAACAUAUCUCCUUUAUAAUAAGGUCAAAUGGAGUGAUUCAAAAGUCUAACUUAACUGAAAUUUCACAAGGAAUCCAUUGGAGGCAUAUUCGGACUCGUUUGGCACAAGAAAUGAGGCAGUACAGCUGGGCAGAAAUAUUUAAUAUUAAGAGUUUGUUUAUUUGGUCAUAUUUUGAGUUGGCGAGCUCGGAUUUGGGCAAUUUUGGAGGCGAUUUUCAUCACAUACAUUGGGAUAAGUGUUCUACAUCUCCCGCUUGGUCUCCCAGGCAGCUUCCUCCACGGGCCGACCUCUCGACUGCACUUUCAUUGAAGCUAUAUCCUUUGAUCUCAACUUUCGAACCUGACGCUCCCAAAUAGCCACUGGCUCCACAUCAUAAGUUAAAUCUCCCUCUAACCAAACCGUGCUGAAAUUCAAAACAUGAGACGGAUCGCCAAUAUACUUCCGGAUCAUAGAAACAUGAAAUACCAGAUGCACACUCGACAAGCUAGGUGGAAAUGCAAGCCCAUAAUCCACCUCUCGCCCUCCGUACCACUGAAAGUCGGAGGCUAAAUUCUACCAAACCUCUCCAAUCGAUGCUGCUCGUCGUCAGGCAUAACCGGUACAACAUAAUCCUAGGCUGGUGCAACCGGCUGGGCUGGAGGUGCCCCCAGACGAAAUCCGACAGCCAAUUGCUGGCUCUGAAUAACCAGCCCAGCAAUAAGCUCAAUUCUUCCAUAACAUAAGGGGGUGGGCUUGCUAUGUUCUAUUUGGGUUAUAUUUCAUGAAUCCAUUUUCAUUUUCGGCAUUUGAUUUAUGAUUUCAAAGUGAAAUAUGGGGUUUUUUGUCUAAAAUUUCAUAAAGUGAAUUUUUAAGUUUUGAACAUCGAUUCGGAGUUGGAUUUUAGUAAAACUAGUAUGGUUGGAUUCACAAUUGAAUGGAUUAUUGGAUUUUCUGAGUUUCGUCGGGUUCCAAGGUGCGAGCCCGAGUUUGGCUUUUUGGUUGAUUUUGGGCUUUUGAUUAAAGAUUCCAUCUUUAUCGAUUGAGUUUGUUUCCUUUAGCAUUAUUUGAUGUUCUUGAGGUUAUUUUGUAUUGUUUUGAGCCAUUCGAAGGUCAGUACGUAUUGGAUGGCAUUUCUAGAGUAUUGUUUGGCUUACUGGAUAUUGAAUUCGGCUUGGUCGAGGUAAAUAACACUUCUAAACUUGGUGCCGAGGGUGUGAAUCCUUGAACAUACAUGUUAUGUGUUUGGUGUUGAGGUGACACACAUGCUAGGUGACAGGCGUGUGGGCGUGCAUUGUGUAAAUUGUGACUCGGUUGAUUCUAUGAUACUGUGUAGUUACCUAAUCUUGUUUCUAUCUAUGAAAUUUCUACGUGUUAGAUAAAUGGAGUUGCGAAUCAUGUUAGAAAUCAUGCUUAGUCUAUAUGCUUAUUCUGUUGGGAUCCACUGAGGCUGUUUUUUUUGAGUUAUUUUCUUAAAUUGCAAUUACAUAUGUAGUCAUAUUCAUUCAUUUACUUAUCAUAUCUCAGUCCCUAUUUUCACUGUUGUCACAUUAUAUAAUCAUUGUUUGGGCUGAUUGACAUAAGAUUUGUGAGCUCGAGAGACUGGAGAGAUUGAUGACUAAGUUAAGGCCUAGGGGCUGGGUUGUGGCUAAGAUUCAUGAUGGGAUUGGGCUAUAUGUCGUAGUAGGCCUUAUGUCUAUAUGUGGAUCGGGUUAUAUGUCGCAAUAGGUUGUAUGGCUAUAUGUGGAUCGGGUUGCACACCGCAACAUGCCUUAAGGCUAUAUAUGGAUCGGGUUGCAAGUUGCAACAUGUCGUAUGGCUAUAUAUUGAUCGGGUUGCAUGUCGUAGUAGGCACCGUACUGUGCUGAGAGACUAAGUGUGCUGAGUGACUGAGCGUGAUGAGUGAGAGUGUGAGACAAUGAGAUUGAGUACUCUUAGAGCAUGAGUACAUGAGUUCAUCUAUGUGAUGCAUUGCAUUUGUCAUGUAUACUUGACAUACAUUCAUAGAGAUACAUUCCCUCAUGUUACACAAUUUUGUGACAUUUAUGACUUCACAUGCACAUUAACGUGUAGGCAUAGAGACGUACUUCCUCAUGCUAUCUGAGAUUGAAAUGUCUCAUCUGUUGUUGAAAGUCUUUGGGAAAAAUCAUAGAUUCUUGACUUACUCAUAUUUUGUUGAUUUUGGUGAAAGAUUUGAGUUUUACUGUUAUACUUUAAAAGCAUGCCUAUUUUUUCGUAACUGUGAACGAGCUGAGCAUCAUACCUUUGAGUUGAUUCUUGUACUACUUUGAUGUUGGCUAUGUGUGUUAGACUUUGACCGUUGUCCAAGCUCGUCACUUCUUUCAACCUAAUGUUAGAUUUGUCACUUAUUGAGUACAUGAGAUCGGUUGUACUCAUACUAGACUUCUGCACCUUGCGUGCAGAGUUUGGAUACUGAUGUUGUUGUGUAUAGUGGGAACUAGAAUUGAAGAUGUACCUAUGUUCUGGUCAUAGCUGCCUCUUGUUCUUCGUAGCUUUAGAAUUUUUAAUUUGUUCAUGUAUAUUUCAAACAGAUGAUGUAUUUAUUUCAUAUCAGCUUUAUAAACUCUAAAUCUUAUGAGCCCACGAUUUGUACUACCAGACUUUGGAAUUUUUGUAUAAAAGUUCAGUUGUAUUAUCAUUACUUCUCUUAGUAAAUCUCAUUUGAAUUGGAUUUUGUUAAACUGGCUUACCUAGAGGGUUGGGUUAGGUGCCAUCACGACUAGUCAGAUUUUGGGUCAUGAUAAGUUUAUAUCGGAGUCUAGGUUCAUAGGUUCUACGAGUCAUGAGCAAGUGUCUAGUAGAGUCUUGUGAUUGGUAUGAUGACGUCUCGAGAGGCUACUUGGCAUUUAAGAUAAACUUCCCAUCUUUUUUUCCUUAUCGUGCGACAAUAAUUCAGCUUGAAGCAUAUCUCUUUGAAUUCCUUCUAUUCACUUAUAUGAGCAUGUGAGCGCUCGGUAUCAAUUGUACAUCGACGACUUGUGGAUUCCAUGGAUGAGGUGCAAGAUCUGUUUAUUGUGUGCUGAGGAUGGGCCAGUCUGGAAGACUUGAGGCCGAGUUUUGACUGUAGCUUGAGCACGGUGAUUUCGGUUGUGUCAGCAUAUGAUUUUGGAGUUAUAUAUUCAGUAGUUUCUCUAUGGAUGGAAUUUGUGACUCAAUAACUAGUUAGAUGACUAUAUGAUGAGUAGGAUGUGAAUGCAGGAUGUGUUUAGAUGGUUUGAAUAUGACGGGACGAUUUUGCUUGAGAUGUGAAAAGGACUAUUGGAUGCUAGAUUUAUGUGGAUGUGUCAUAUAGUCUUGAGUUAUGAAGGUUUUUGAGAGAUUAUUUUGUGUUAUUUCAUUUGUGGAAGGAAGUAUAUUUUCAUGUCUUAUUGAUGAGUUCAGACUCAGGAACAUUAAGUGAUUGCAUAGUAUUUAUGGAUGUAAAAGGGUAUAAAGAGAUGUCAGUUUGAGGCUAAGCAGGUGGGUUAUCACAUGCUGGGUAAUCUACGGAUGUGUGAUCCUUAUGAUGUUGUGUGGAGGAUUUCUUUUCUUUCAGUAGGUAUAGGUGUUGCGAUUUGUGUUUUGAUUGGUUGAUAAAGUUGACCUGUCUGUCAUGAGGAUGAAUGCAAGCUUAACAAAUGAUUUGAGGUACUAUAUGGUUUGUGUUAUAUGAGUUUAUGAAGGAUUUAUUUGAAUCUCACUGCGAUAUUAUGGCAGUAGUAGAGUAUGGGCAUUGUCAAUUAUCGAGUGUUUUGAUCUAUGGCAUUGAGCCAAGUGGGGGAGUCUGCUAUCGACGAUUUGGUUGUAUGGUUACAUGUUGUGUUGGUUUCGAUCUGAGGCAUGCUUACGUAUCGGUUAUGACUUACAGAGGCUAGUUCUGAGAAUGACUUAAGUAAGAAAAUUUCUGGAUGCAUGGUAUAUUACACAUUAUGGAUAUAUUAAAAUCAAUGAUUGAGUUGAUUUGUUAUUCGUGACGGAUGUAGUGAACAUGGAGUAGAAAUUUACUCGGUUGCGUUAAAGCGCGGUUACUUCUUUGGAUGGUACCGUGCUAAUGGGGUGUAUGUUGUUCGGCCCAUUUGGGCAGUGUAGUUGAGAUUUGAGUAGAGUGGAUGACUGUCGAGAAGGUUCUAAUGGAUUCAAGAUUUAUAUGUAGCAAUUAAUAAUUUUUUGGAUUUGUAUAUGGCUAGGAUCUGAGAUUUACAUUGUAUGGUGUCGAGACUCGAUGUAGUUCUACAUCAUUAUGGAUUCUAUAUUUCAGUAUUAGGAAGGUGAAGUUAACGGCUUUAAAUUCACAGAAGGUCUCUUCAGAGUGGGUGUCUCGAUUGUAGUACUUUUGGGGUGACUAAGAGGGAAUACAAUGGCUUAUUGGCCUUAGGUGGAGUGGUUUUAAGCUAGUAUCCCUUGUGGUGAGUUGUAGAUAAGGAUCAUGGUGUUCUGGAAAGGAGAAGUGUCAACUUGAGGGUAAUUCGAAAGGAACUCGGAGAAAUAGGACAUCUUGGUAGUAAGUUCGAUCAGCACAGUAAUGGAUAUAAUCGGUUCGUUGGGUACUUGUGAUGUGGUGAGUCUCUACAUGUGUUUUAUGGCAAUACUCCUAAAUUUGGCGAUUUGCGUGACUUGGUUGAGUUAGAGAGAUUCAGUUCUGAUAGCUUGGUUAUGUGCAAAUGUGUUUCGAAGAUUUCUCGAUGGUUUCUACCAUGGUUUGAGGUGGAUAUUUCCUACCGAUGUGAGAAGCACAUUUCGUAUUGUGUUUUUCUACUGGAUGAGAUCAAAUAAAAGGUUCCUGGCUAAUUGACCAUGUAGUUUCUUGUGACUCAGGGUUGAUAAUGAGGUUCUCGUAUUUUCAUAUGAUGGCAUGAUAGAUGCGGUGUGUUGUGUGGGAUUAAGAUUUGUAUGUGCAAGGUCACAGUUCAGUUUUGAAGGGAAGGUCAUGAAAUCUUAGACAACAUGAACGAUUUCCGAUGUUUCGAUGAAUGCUAUAACUACUUGGUAAUGCUUGAGAAGGGUGCGCAUUUCAGCAAGUGCAUUGUGUUUUGACUUACAGAUGUUUCAUUGGUAUUGUGGUACUCGCCUGGUUGAUGACUGCUAAUGUUUAGAUUUUGCUAUAUGGCACAAAAGAAUUAUAAAAGUAUUCCUCGUGGGAUGAUUGUGUAUGAGAGUUGUGUUAGACAUUCGGGCAGUAAAGUUGGGAUCAAAUAUGGUGAUUCGUGUGUUCUAUGAAUUUGGAGAUUGGAAUUCUUAAAAGCAGAUUGUUUCGUGGUUGUAGACUGUGAAGAUGUGGCCAAAGUUAUCCAGAUGGUGGUACAUGUUAUAGUUAAAACCUUGUGGAUUGUUGGAGGGCUAUUUAUCAAUUAGGGGAUGACCAGAGUUGAUUUAGGACCCGUUAGUAGGCCCAAGUGGGAUGUGCAAUCUACAUCUGGUCGGAUUUGUUGACUCAGAACUAUUAGUGUUGAGGAGUGAGUCAUUCGGUUAGAGUUAAGCUUGUUCGCGUUCUUAUAUGUUCUAUGUGUUACUCUCCUAUGACGAGGGGUUGGGAUUUGUUGGUUAUAUGCACACAUGGUAUGGUUCUAUUUGGGUCUUAUAGCGGAAUUUGAGCGAAAUGGUUAUUGGGUUGUGGAAUGGUUGAUUGUGCCUUGGUUAUGGCCUUUUCCAGUUGUGGUAUAUUGUGUUGCUUGCUUCUUCAUGGUUAUGCCCAUGAACUUUGUGUACUUGACAUCGAAUUGUUCGUGGUUGUUGAUUUUGAGCAUUGUGGCUUGAGGUAUUUCAUAUGGACCGAUAUUUGGAUAGUGUCACACAUUACAGCAAAGUUAUGUUGGGAUAUGAUCCUUUGUGUUAGAUUCGUAUAUCUUGGUUCUACUAUGUAAGAUGGGCUCAAAGCAUUACGGUGUGGUGGUACUUGUCGAGCUUCCGGGACGGUUUUCUCAUUUGAGUUAUUUUUCAUUUUUGGGUGCAUUGAUUUAUUGCGUAUUAGUGCACGGAUUGCACGGUUUGUGGCUCUAGGUUGUAUUGAUAUUACAUGUCAAUAGAAUGAUUGUGUUUUACGAGAUGAGUACUAUCGGAUUUGAUUGCAGUAUAUAUGGAGGAAUAAUAUCAGAAGUCGACUUAGAAAUUGGCUUUGGUUCUAAUUGGGCGAGAGAGGGCUCCAUGACUUGUUGAUUUGAUAAGUGAUUAUGAAUUUCUGCAUAUUUCUUUCAUAAUCGGAAAUGUACGAAGGUUUUAGAAUAAAGUUUUGUUUGAUAUGAAGUUUAUUACCGGUACCGGGUUUGUUUUUGAGCAGCUACUAUGAUCAGAACUUUAUUGCUACAAGUAUACGAGUUGUAUGGUAUAUCAUGUGAUUAUAUCUUGGGUUAUGAUUAUGGAUUUAUACAGCUUAUUUAGACUUAUAUAGUGUGUAGAUGCAAGAUUCAGGUCUUGUAAGGAAUUUUGAUGCUGGAAAUUGAGUUCUAAGGCUUACGGACUAAGGUUAAAGUAAUGACCUUCAGUUAGGAUGUGUUGUCAGGCUUACAUGGAUUGGGGUAACAUGAGAUCACCCCCGAGUAUGUGCAUGAUAAGGUUGCACAAUGAUUUGACGGCUUAGGAAUAAUUCUUAGCAUGUUCAAAGACGAAUGUAUGUUUAAGUGGGGACAAUGUAACGACCAAGCCGGUCGUUUUGAGCAUUUGCAUUUUGUUCAGCUAUUUGAAAUCUUGAGUAACAUCGUGUGAUGUUUUAUGACUUGUGUGAAUCAUCUGUUUUGGUUUUUAGGUUAUUCAGGAUUGAUUUGGAAGGAUGAUUCUCAAUUAGGAAGUUUUAAGUUGGAAGGAUUGACCAAGUUUGACUUUUUAGUACUUGACCUCGGAUCGGGAUGGUGAUUAUGGACUUGGCUCUAUGCCCGGAUUUGCAUUUGGAUAUUUCUAGAAGGUAUCGGCACUAUUUAGUGAAAGUUAGAAAUUUGAAGAUUUGCAAUGUUCAUAAGUUUUACCGGGAGUUGACUUUGAUGAUAUCGCGUUCAUAUUAUUGUUUUUAGAAUUGGAAUAACGUCGUUAUGUCAUUUGGGACUUGUGUGCAAAAUUUGAGUUCAUUAAGUUCGAUUUGAGGUAUAAUCUGUGGUUUUGAUGUUGUUAUGCAUUAUUUAAGGCUUAGAGUAAGUCCGUGUUAUGUUAUGCUGCUAGUUGGUAUGUUCGGACGGGGUCCCAAGGGGCUCGGGUGAGUUUUAGAUAGGUUUGGGUUGUGUUGCGCUCAUUUUUUAUGCUUCGAUGUCGUUUCGUCAAGCAUAAUUGGUACCACAUUAAGAAAAUGAGCUCCAAUUUCUGUUUUGAUUGAAACAUUAUAUCCGUAUCGUAAUUUUGGAACCAUAAAAACUGGAAUCAUCAAGUAUCAAUAUCGUAUGAGGAAUUUAUGGUCAUUUUACUAAGAAUUGGGUUGCUAAAUUGUUUUCAAAUUAAUUACAAAAUUAUCACAUAAUUCAUAUUUAAAAUUUUGCACUAUCUUCAAAUAUUGAAACCAACAUAUCUUGUCACAAUCCGAAAUUUUCACCUUCCGGACCGUGAUGUCGCCGAACAUUUCAUUUGCUAGGCAAGCCAACGUUAGAAUAAGCUAAAUCAUUUUUAAACAAAUCAAAUUAAAUGGAUGUCAAUUACUGAAAUAAAGUGCGGAAGACCAUAACAAUCGAAUCGUCCAAGUACAACCCAGAAUCUGGUGUCACACGUGCAUAAGCUACUAGAAUAAUACAAAUAAAGGUCUGAAUAGAAUUCAAGCUGUUUGGAAGAAAUAUAGAGCUAAGAUAAAGUAGAAGGGGACUUCGGAAGUACAGAUGUCGUGCAGUUAUACCUCAACUCUCCUCUAGGUAGCUGAAUCCGAGAAAGUCUAUGGUACGCCUCUGGGACCAACUCUAAAAUCUCCACAUGAAGUGCAGAGUGUAGUAUGAGUACAACCGACCUCAUAUACUCCGUAAGUGACGAGCCUAACCCCGACAAAGUAUUGACGAGGUUAUGACAAGACAUAUACAUGAACAACCUGCACAAGUAUAUACAUAUAAGAAGCAAUAAAUAACAUAGUAAUUAAUAAUUUAAAAAAUUGGAAGGGAACAUAUGAAUGGUAAAGAUGUAAUAAUUCCAGCAGGAGAAGUGCCACAUAACAACCGAAUAAUUCAUCAACAAUAAAUAUAGGUAGCUAAAAUAUAAAAAUGGCACGGCACCACCCUUCAUGCUUUUAUUCUCAUCCUUCCCAUGAAAUGAUAAAUAAAUAAUAUGAAUGGCACGGCAUCCGUUUGUGCUUUAACUCUCUUUCAUGCCACAGUAUGAUGAAUAAAUAAUUUAAAUGCCACGACAUCACUCUUCGUGCUUUAACUCUCUUCCUCACUUUAUAAAUCAAUAAAUUAUAAUAAUGUGAAAAUGGCACGACAUCACCUUUCGUGCUUCAACACUCUUCCUCAAAAUGGCAAUGAUAAUAUAAAUAAUAUAAAUGGCACGGCAUCACCCUUCGUGCUUUUACGCUCUUUCUUACCAUGAAAAUAAUAAUAUAAAUUUGGAAGAGUAUUUUAAAUGCGGGGAAUUAUACUUAUCAAUUAAUUUAAUACCAGAAUACCGACCUCACCUUCCAAAAAUAUUCAACAAUAAUUAAUUUAGCAAUAAUUUUAUAAAUAAUGAUCAAAUGAAUAAUAAUAAACUUAAGCAGGAAUAUCUAGUUAAAUAAGCAAUUAUUCACAAAGAACAAAUUCCACUCGCAUGCUUUGAUUCAACCACAAUGCAUAAGUACUCGUCACUUCAAAUAUAUGUUGUACCCGCACAUUAAAUCACGUAGCAAAUAGACAAACUAAUCCUAUUCCCUCAAGUCAAGGUUAACCACGACACUUACCUUGCUUCGCAACCAAAUUCAAGAUUCUAAUGAACCUUUGCCCAUGACACUUACCGCGCUUCGCAGCCAAAUUCAAGAUUCCAAUAAACCUUUGCCGCGCGAAUUUUGUACGAAUGCCUCGAAUCUAGGCACAAUCAAUUCGAUACAGUCAACACAAAUUAUAGAAAUCAACUCCAUAUGAAAAUACUAAAUUUUCCAAUUAAAAUCCGAAAUUCGACUAAACAAUCGACAGUGGGGCCCACGUCUCGACACCCGACAAAAGUUAUGAAAUAUGAACGCCCAUUGAACCACGAGUCUAGCCAUACAAAUUUUACCACAUUCCGACAUCAACUCCGCCUCCAAAUCCUCAAAAUCAUAUUUUCAAAUUCCUAGGCCCAAAUUUUCGAAUUACAUCUAGUCAGAAUAAUCAAUGAUGUUUCAAUAUUAUUGACUAACAAUGAUCACAAGUGACUUACCUUAAAAAUCCCCAUGAAAUCUCGCUCAAAAAUCGCCCAACCCAUGCUUGAAAUGUCUAAAAAUGAGAAAAAUCUCAGACUCUUUGAUUAAUACAUUACCCAGGGAUUUUCACAGCUACGAUGCACCUGACCGAAUCUGCGGUCUCGUAGAUGCGAGGAUGGUUGUCGCUUCUGCGGGCUGGCUUACUUCUGUAGCAAGAGUCCGCUUCUGCGGACUUGCUUCUACGAAGAAGUUGUCCGCUUCUGCAACGAGGCCAGGCUUCUCCCUUUCCGCUUAUGCGGUCAACAAGCCGCCCAGCUCUUCACCCUGGCCGCUUCUGCGAUGGCCCUUGCGCACCUGCGGUGUCGCACCCGCGAACCAUACGGAAUCCACCUGAGGCCCUCGGGACCUCAACCAAAUAUACCAACAAGUCAUAAAAGCUCAUACGAACUUAGUCGGGGCCUCAAAUCACAUCAACAACGCUAAAAACACGAAUCACACCCCAAUUCAAGCUUAAUGAAAACUAAUAAAUUUCAAUUUCAACAUUUGAUGCCGAAUCAUAUCAAAUCAAGUCUGAUUGACCUCAAAUUUGCAUACAAGUCAUAAAUGACAUAGCAGACCUAUUCAAAUUUCCUGAAUCGACUUUCGACCCCGAUAUCAAAAAAAUAAUUUGUGGUCAAACUUUGAAAUCUUUAAGCUUUCAAACUUAAAAUUUUUAACAAUUGGCGAUAACCCAAGCUAGGGACUUCCAAAUCAACAAGAUUGGGAGCCUAAAGCCAAAUUUUAGAGAGAGUCCCUAAGUAAGAAUAUCAAUGAAAAAUUUUCAAUGAAAAAGUAUAAAAUAAAGGUAGAAUAAUAAAAUCGGCUCAAAAAUUUGACAAGUUGAUAUACAACAACAACAUACUCAGUGGAAAUCCACAAAGUGGGAUCUGAGAAGGUAGAGUGUACGCAGACCUUACCUCUACUUUGAAAGGUUGAGAGGUUAUUUUUGAAAGACCCUCAGAUCAAGAGAAAGCAUGAAAAAAAAGGUCAGAUAAGGACAAUCAAUUCAAUGUCACUAUGAAAAUGAAAAUAAUGAAAGCGAAUAAGUCAUGAUAAAGUACUCUAAAAAGGAGCAGCAGUUAUCACAGAUAAAUAAGAUAAUUAAAGUACAAGAAAUAAUAGAUAGUAACAGAAAUCAAAGGGCAAGAAACUAUAGAGCAAGAUAAACUGAUAUAUAAGUUGUCGAUUGAGAGACUUUUCAAUAUUGAGAACAAGACUAGUAAAAGAGAGAAUGAAAAAGGUAAAUAUAUAAACAAUAAUAUGGGCCCGUAUUAGCUAUUAGGAUAUAAAUGAGGCAAAAAAAAUAGCUACCCUAACCAUGUAAUUAGGAAACAAUUCAUUAAAAAUUAUUCAAUUCUCUAAUUAUUACAACGAUCCUCACAUUAAAGUUAUUGCACAUUCUCUAAUUUUUUUUUUUAAAUUUAGAUGUACACAUAUUUUUUUAAUAAUACUUAUACAAUACAUUUUUAAGAAAAAAUAGGGCCCCAAAAAGUUGGGGCCCAAGCGAUUGCUUUACUAGGCUUAUAGCCACCCAUGCCAUUCCAAUGUGCUUGUAUCAUUACCGGCACCAAGUAGGUCCUGUAACAUUUUUAAUUCUCUCAAAUAUGUUGAAACCCAAUGAAUAAUGAUACUCCAAUCCAAACUCAUGAUUGGACCAUAGAUUUUUGCAAGAUUUGCUAGCGAUAUAUGAGGUUUUGCACCUAAUAAGUGAAGGUUUCCAAUAAUUGGCCAUGGUUUUGGCCAUGGUGAAAGUUUAAUUUUAUGCUGCCUUUUCUGAGUAAAUUGUGGCUAGAAUAUAAAGAAAACUCAAGGCAAAAAUUGAUCCAAACAUAAGUGUAUAGUAAUCCAUUAUGCCCCUCUCCCACUCUUUCUUCAACUUUGAAAAAUGAAAAGAUGCUUUAAUUUCCUCUUUUGUCAGUAAUAAAGUACAGGUGUCCUAGGUGUGUUUGAUUUGGAUCGUGCAUUUAAUAAUCAGGAAAUUGAAAAUGGACAAGUCAAUUUUACAAUUAAAGGUAAAAUGAGAAAAUUAUAAUUUAUUUUGUCUUGAACUUCUAAAAUGAUAAAUAAGUUGAGAUAAUUAUUUUUAGAAAAUAUGACAGAUAAUAUGAAAAGUAGGAAGUAGUUUUCAGAGGCGGAUGUAGUGAAUAACUAACGGGUUCAACUAAACCAAUAACUUUCAUCGGGGUAAAAAUUUAUAUGUAAAAAUUGAUUAAAAUUACAAAAAUGGUAUAUAUGAAUCCAUAACUUUAAAAAUAUAGUAGGUUCAAUGCUAAAAUCCUAAAAAUUGAAUCCAUAGGAUUUAAAUUCUGGAUCUGCCUCUGAUAGUAUUAAAUAAUAUAUACCCCACCCUUUUGGUAACAAGAAAAAUUAAUUAAAAACAACUAGGAACUACAGUAUUAUAUAGUUUUAUCUUUCUAGGGAUAAUAUUUCCCGUUAAAUAAUGCCUUGCUCCCACGGGCAGAUCUAGAGGAAUGAAGUGGGUUCGGAUGAAGUCUUUUUUAUGGAAGAAUCACACUCUAUAUGUAGUGAUUUGACUUGAAAAUUCUUGCACAGUUAAGAGAGUUGUAAGAUUCAUAAAAAGGAAAAAAAAAUAUCGACUUAUACUGAAGUAAUCACUAAUGAUUUGAACUCAAUUAUAAAUUUACAUGCCCGAAGAUUAUAGGGCGCGAAUUUGUGAAAGUAACCUCGAGUUACCUAAAAAAGGCAGGAACUUAUUAGUAAAGACGGACUAAUGUGGUAAAGAGAGGGUCAUCGGCACCCGAAAAGUUAGGCAAAAUUUGUAUAUAUGUAUGUAUAUAUUUUUUAAAAAUACUGAUAUAUAGUGGUCGCAAAAUGGUUAGAAGAAAAUAGUUAUUCACCCAUAUUAUUCAUUAAAAAAUUGGUUGGAUAAUGAACUUUUUAAAUAAUGGGUCAAAUGUGGAUAAAAACCAUAUUAUCCAUUUAGAAAAUGAAUAACCAAUAGAUAACUAAUGAGUUUAACUUUUACAUUUGCAAAGCCUUAAAUUGGGGGUUCGUCAAGUUUAGGAGAUUAUGAAUUCUCUCAAAAGUGAUCAUAUUCAAGAAAUCAUGAAUAAUAUAAAUAUUUAUAUUAUUCGUGGAUUAACCCUUUUUAUCCGUAUUGAAUAUGAGUCGGAUCGAAUAAUUUAUCCAUUUUUUUACUACUCAUUUUCGACCCGCUUCUAUUCGACCUGACCCGCCCGUUUACCACCCCUACUAAUAUAUUAAUAGUGACAUCCUAGGUCCGCCUAUGCUUAUUAGUAUAUAUGACUUAAUUGCACACCUCUAAGAUAUGUAAACACUAGUACACUACAAUAAAUUGGACUAGAUAUUUGUUUUGAUGUGAAAUCAUUUUUGACACGGAGAAGCAACGCUUACUUUGUCUUUUUAGCUAUUUUCAUUUCCCAAGUCACAAUUGCAAUUUGUGAAACUCGUGAUUAUUUGCAAAUUUCCUCGCCUCACUCCAAUUUAUGGGCCUUGUAUGUUUGGGCUUUUAGUUUGACUCCACCCUCUCAAGUUGGAAGAGUCUUUACACAAAUAACCAGCUAGAUUUUUUGUUUACUUCUCCUAAUCGAUAUAUAUAAAUGGCGUAAUGGCUUCUUGGCCACUUAAACUUGUAAGGCUUUUGAAAGUCGAUACAUAAACUUUGGACUUUCCCAUUUGAACACUCAAACUCGUGAAACUCUUAACUAAUAAACACAUUUGACCCUUGACCCUACGCGCGUGUAUUACACAUUCACAGAUGUGUCCAUCCAGUCAGCAUAUGACCAAUGGGAAUGUUACACAUUAAGGGCGCGAAAACAAAUCCCAUAGCUGUGCUGGAAUAAAUUUAUUAAUUUCUACUUUUUCUUCUGUUUUCGUUAUUUUCUUCUUCACCAUAGCUGUGUUGGAAUAAAUUUUCCCACCCAGCCAUCAUUUUCAAUGGUGAAACUUGUGAUCUGAUCCAUUAAAAGUAACACUUCCCAAUGUCGAAAAAAUCAAAAUGGAUAAACAUCAAGAAGAAAGAAAAAAUAAUCACGAAAACCCAAUGUCAAAAUACAAGAAAAAUCACUGCAACUUCAAGAAAAAUUACUCUUCUCUUCUUCAAAACAUUUGCUAGCCUUUUGUAAAUUCAGAAACAAUGAGUAUGAUUGGACCCCAUGAAUGCAAUGAAACCUGAUGUCCUUUUUGCGCUUUUGUUUUGUUUUUCCGGCGAAAGUUACGCCGAAAAUCACAUUUGGAUCUGAUAUAUUUUGAGCUCGAUUGUUGACAGUUUUAUUCUCUGUUGAAAUUAGAAGAAGCAUACACAAGAAAAAAAAUGGUGAAAGAAAUUUAUUUUUGACUUCAUUAAUAUAGUAGAACAGUGGAGAGGAUAAAGGGUAAAAGAACAGUAAACAAAAAAUUGGACGGGAAUAGAGAAAAUGAUGAAGGAAGAGAGGUAGGUUGAAAGUUUUUUUCUUUUCUUUUUUGGUUUUCCUUAUAGUUUCUGUUUAUUUUUUUAAUUUUACAAUCUUUUUAAUAAAUAGCAACAGAUACACGCGCCAUUUGAUGUGACUUGUACGCACUAUGUCCACGUAAGAUAAGUUACCUCCACAUAAGCAUAGUCAAUGGUCAAAAGUGUUUAUUAGUUAUAGGUUUUAUAAGUUUGAGUGUUUAAAUGGGAAAGAAGAAAGUUUGUGUAUCGGUUUUCAAAAGCCGUACAAGUCUAAGUGGUCAGGAAACCAUUUCGCCUAUAUAAAUUAUAUAUUGAUUAAACAUGAUUAUAUAUAUAUAUUAUCUUAUGUCGUCUAUUUUUAGUUUAAGCGAUUGAAUGAAUAUUUAUUUAAGUUAAUUCUUCGCGCAUUGAUUAGUUAUGGUUGCACUGAUGAAGUCUUACAUAGGGCAUUAAGUUUGCUUUCAGUCCACCACUCAUAUACAACUUUCCAUUAUGGGAGAAUGUUGGAAAAUUAAUUGAAAGUUGUAAUAGGAAACCUUAAUCGUUUAAGAUUUGGUAUUUGCUAGUUUAUUUAAUUUAUAUCUAAAUAAGAUUUGUAAGUACAUGAAUUAUAUAUAUAUUAUACAUCUUCUGACUAUUUUUAGUUUAAGCGGUUGAAUUGACGACUAUUUAUGUUGAUUUUUUUUGGGCAAAAAGGUGUGAAGUGCCUCAAUGAUGCACUUUUCAAAUUAAGAAUUAUUUUGUAUUCUCGUAAAAAAUGUGGCAUACAUAAUAAAAUUAAGAAGUACUCUUAUAAUGAUGCAUCUCGUUGUAUCGAGUUUCAUAAAAAAGACAAACAAUUUUUCUCUCUUCUCGUCUCUUCUCACAGUACGCAAGUCAUAGAAAGAGGAAGAAAGUAUGCUUGUUAGCAACGUGAACGGUGAUUUACUUGUCCAUUUUCAGUUUAUUAAUUAACCCACACACACAAAAAAAAAAAAAUGUAUUGUUUGUCAGUUUUACAUGAAGUCUCAAGUCCAAAUUUCAGUAGAAGCAAAAAUGCUAGGUUAUUUAUUUUCAUCUGUUUAAGAUUUGGUGGACAGAGUUAUUCGAUAUAUGUACUGGUAGAAGUUAACUGGUACCCCGUAAAUUUAGUCUAAGUACAUGUAAGUUGACCCGAACACCACGAUUAUAUUUUUAUAGCUCCAUUAUUUUACCAUAGAGAAAAUGGACUAACCAACCAAAGUUACUUGAGCGCCAGGCAGCCAGCUUUGAUGCACUUCAAGCACACAACCAUUAUAAAUUUUCUGUAGUUUGGCUUCCUGUUUGUCCUCAAUGGCGAACGCUUCCACGAAUCUUGAACACCAACCUCCUCUCUGCUAAUAGGCUUGAUGCAAAUCAAUGUCUAAGAUCUCAAAAGGUGAAAGAAUUACUUGCUUAUUGUGCAACAUGUAGCCAAGAAGGUGAAGUUGUGGAUGUAGGUCAAGUAGCUUUCAAGAAUUCUCUAAACUUGUUGUCCAACACCCUUUUCUCUAAGGACUUGGCUGACCCCUUUUCGGAUUCAAAGGUAGAGCUAAAAACACCUAUCUGUAACACCCCGACCCUUCCUUUUGACCUUUUGGAAUCCUUAUACAAAUAGCCGGUCAGAUUCACUAUUUACUUUUUCUAAUCAGUGUAUAUGGAUUAUGCACUGAUUACACAUGAUUAUACAUGGAUUAUACGUAUGUAUGUUAUACAUCUCCGGCUAUUUUUAGUUUAAGCGAGUCAUGUGGGUGGCUAUUUAGGUUCCUGACUUUUUGUGUAUAACUAAACAGUGCAUUGAUAUGUUGUCCUAUUAUCUUGUUGUUGCUAUUGUUUGUCUAUUGAUUCCUUUUCGAUGUUCUUGAGCCAAGGGUCUAUUGAAAAAAUCCUCUCUACCUUUAUAAGAUAGAGGUAAGGUCUGUUUACACAUUACCUUCC
Molecule: long non-coding RNA, 17978 nt
Filed under: Nicotiana tabacum (common tobacco)
Lineage: Eukaryota; Viridiplantae; Streptophyta; Magnoliopsida; Solanales; Solanaceae
Description: long non-coding RNA (NTAB_LNC012359)
Source: RNAcentral